GGGGGUUUAGCUCAGUUGGUAGAGCGCCUGCUCCGCAAGCAGGAGGUCACGGGUUCGACUCCCGUAAUCUCCACCA
RNAcentral lists this transfer RNA (76 nucleotides) under Clostridia bacterium. RNAcentral describes it as "tRNA-Ala". It matches the Rfam family "tRNA". From Rfam's summary of the family: Transfer RNA (tRNA) molecules are approximately 80 nucleotides in length. Their secondary structure includes four short double-helical elements and three loops (D, anti-codon, and T loops). Lineage: Bacteria; Bacillati; Bacillota; Clostridia. The record is from RNAcentral.